GAGAUCGGGAUAACACCUGGAAACAGAUGCUAAUACCGGAUAACAACAGAUGAUGCCUAUCAACUGUUUAAAAGAUGGUUCUGCUAUCACUCUUGGAUGGACCUGCGGUGCAUUAGCUAGUUGGUAGGGUAACGGCCUACCAAGGCGAUGAUGCAUAGCCGAGUUGAGAGACUGAUCGGCCACAUUGGGACUGAGACACGGCCCAAACUCCUACAGGAGGCAGCAGGG
This 228-nucleotide ribosomal RNA is filed under the name uncultured Lactobacillus sp. Its description in RNAcentral is "partial 16S ribosomal RNA". It matches the Rfam family "Bacterial small subunit ribosomal RNA", at positions 134 to 354 of the family's 1533-position model. The record is from RNAcentral. Lineage: Bacteria; Bacillati; Bacillota; Bacilli; Lactobacillales; Lactobacillaceae.